GAUCGCUGUGUGCGAUGAAAGUCGCCUGCAUGGUGAAGGCUCGAAUCGAAAGCUGCGAUGAUUUUAUCGUGGUAUAAGACGAGAAUAGCGAUUUUUUAGAACCAC
Molecule: unclassified non-coding RNA, 105 nt
Filed under: Tenuibacillus multivorans
Lineage: Bacteria; Bacillati; Bacillota; Bacilli; Caryophanales; Bacillaceae
Source: RNAcentral